UCCGGUUUGUCACCGGCAGUCUGGCGUGAGUCCCCAACUUAAUGCUGGCAACACGCCACGGGGGUUGCGCUCGUUGCGGGACUUAACCCAACAUCUCACGACACGAGCUGACGACAACCAUGCACCACCUGUGCAGGGCCCCGAAGGACACCGUAUCUCUGAGGCUUUCCGGCGUAUGUCAAACCCAGGUAAGGUUCUUCGCGUUGCAUCGAAUUAAUCCGCAUGCUCCGCCGCUUGUGCGGGCCCCCGUCAAUUCCUUUGAGUUUUAGCCUUGCGGCCGUACUCCCCAGGCGGGGCGCUUAAUGCGUUAGCUACGGCACGGAUCCCGUGGAAGGAAACCCACACCUAGCGCCCACCGUUUACGGCGUGGACUAC
Molecule: unclassified non-coding RNA, 375 nt
Filed under: uncultured Actinomycetes bacterium
Lineage: Bacteria; Bacillati; Actinomycetota; Actinomycetes
Description: uncultured actinobacterium contains 16S-23S intergenic spacer region
Source: RNAcentral